GUGGGGAAUAUUGGACAAUGGGCGAAAGCCUGAUCCAGCCAUGCCGCGUGUGUGAAGAAGGUCUUCGGAUUGUAAAGCACUUUAAGUUGGGAGGAAGGGCAGUAAGUUAAUACCUUGCUGUUUUGACGUUACCGACAGAAUAAGCACCGGCUAACUUCGUGCCAGCAGCCGCGGUAAUACGAAGGGUGCAAGCGUUAAUCGGAAUUACUGGGCGUAAAGCGCGCGUAGGUGGUUCAGCAAGUUGGAGGUGAAAUCCCCGGGCUCAACCUGGGAACUGCCUCCAAAACUACGGGGCUAGAGUACGGUAGAGGGUAGUGGAAUUUCCUGUGUAGCGGUGAAAUGCGUAGAUAUAGGAAGGAACACCAGUGGCGAAGGCGACUACCUGGACUGAUACUGACACUGAGGUGCGAAAGCGUGGGGAGCAAACAGGAUUAGAUACCCGGGUAGUCC
RNAcentral lists this ribosomal RNA (450 nucleotides) under uncultured bacterium. RNAcentral's name for it is "partial 16S ribosomal RNA". It matches the Rfam family "Bacterial small subunit ribosomal RNA", at positions 354 to 796 of the family's 1533-position model. The record is from RNAcentral.